RNAcentral lists this transfer RNA (68 nucleotides) under Marmota monax (woodchuck). RNAcentral's name for it is "tRNA.Ala". Lineage: Eukaryota; Metazoa; Chordata; Mammalia; Rodentia; Sciuridae. The record is from RNAcentral.
GGAUUGUGGCUCAGUGGUAGAGUGUUGCCCUAGCACGUUCAAGGCCCUGGGUUCGAUCUCCAGCACCA